GGCGGACGGGUGAGUAACGCGUAAAGAACUUGCCCUUUAGACUGGGAUAACAGAGGGAAACUUCUGAUAAUACUGGAUAAGUUAGUAUAUCGCAUGAUAUGCAAAUGAAAGCUACGGCACUAAAGGAGAGCUUUGCGUCCUAUUAGCUAGUUGGUAAGGUAAUAGCUUACCAAGGCGAUGAUAGGUAGCCGGCCUGAGAGGGUGGACGGCCACAAGGGGACUGAGAUACGGCCCUUACUCCUACGGGAGGCAGCAGAG
RNAcentral lists this ribosomal RNA (258 nucleotides) under uncultured Leptotrichia sp. Its description in RNAcentral is "partial 16S ribosomal RNA". It matches the Rfam family "Bacterial small subunit ribosomal RNA", at positions 97 to 354 of the family's 1533-position model. The record is from RNAcentral. Lineage: Bacteria; Fusobacteriati; Fusobacteriota; Fusobacteriia; Fusobacteriales; Leptotrichiaceae.